AUACGGAGGAUCCAAGCGUUAUCCGGAUUUAUUGGGUUUAAAGGGAGCGUAGAUGGAUGUUUAAGUCAGUUGUGAAAGUUCGGGGCUCAACCCCGGAAUUGCAGUUGAUACUGGAUAUCUUGAGUACAGUUGAGGUAGGCGGAAUUCGUGGUGUAGCGGUGAAAUGCUUAGAUAUCACGCAGAACUCCGAUUGCGAAGGCAGCUUACUAAGCUACAACUGACACUGAAGCACGAAAGCGUGGGGAUC
This 247-nucleotide ribosomal RNA is filed under the name uncultured bacterium. Its description in RNAcentral is "partial 16S ribosomal RNA". It matches the Rfam family "Bacterial small subunit ribosomal RNA", at positions 523 to 769 of the family's 1533-position model. The record is from RNAcentral.